This 254-nucleotide ribosomal RNA is filed under the name uncultured bacterium. RNAcentral describes it as "partial 16S ribosomal RNA". It matches the Rfam family "Bacterial small subunit ribosomal RNA", at positions 524 to 776 of the family's 1533-position model. The record is from RNAcentral.
GACGAACCGUGCGAACGUUGUUCGGAUUUACUGGGCGUAAAGGGCGCGUAGGCGGUCAGCACAAGUCAGUUGUGAAAUCUCCGGGCUUAACUCGGAAAGGUCAACUGAUACUGUGCGACUAGAGUGCGGAAGGGGCAACUGGAAUUCUCGGUGUAGCGGUGAAAUGCGUAGAUAUCGAGAGGAACACCUGCGGCGAAGGCGGGUUGCUGGGCCGACACUGACGCUGAUGCGCGAAAGCCAGGGGAGCGAACGGG